AUCAGGGACCAAACCACCUUAGCGAUUAGGUCAACUCUUAACCUAAUCGGGUCAAACCCAACUGAAUCCAAUUCAAUUGGAUUUGAUCCAAAAAUAAUUACUCAAUCAAAUUGAGUUAAUUAGCAAUCAAAUCACUAAUUAAACUUCUCAUAAAUACUGAGUCCAAAGUCGAUGGGCAAUCAGGCAUCAAAGUCCAUCGAUAUGAAACCCUGAUCGAAGAGUCCCAAACCAGUGGGACUCUUGACCCCGGUACCCAAAAUGUGUGGAACUCGUGAUCAGAGAAUCUUGAUUCUCGAUC
Molecule: long non-coding RNA, 298 nt
Filed under: Elaeis guineensis (African oil palm)
Lineage: Eukaryota; Viridiplantae; Streptophyta; Magnoliopsida; Arecales; Arecaceae
Description: long non-coding RNA (EGUI_LNC070358)
Source: RNAcentral